This 431-nucleotide ribosomal RNA is filed under the name uncultured archaeon. RNAcentral describes it as "bacterial SSU rRNA". It matches the Rfam family "Archaeal small subunit ribosomal RNA", at positions 474 to 903 of the family's 1478-position model. The record is from RNAcentral.
UACCAGCUCUCCGAGUAGUGUGGAUGUUUAUUGGGCCUAAAGCAUCCGUAGCUUGCUAAGCAAGUCCCCUGUUAAAUCCACCGAUUCAAUCGGUGGAUUGCGGGGGAUACUGUUUGGCUAGGGGACGGGAGAGGCCGACGGUAUUUCCGGGGUAGGGGUGAAAUCCUAUAAUCCCGGGAAGACCACCAGUGGCGAAGGCUGUCGGCUAGAACGCGCCCGACGGUGAGGGAUGAAAGCUGGGGGAGCGAACCGGAUUAGAUACCCGGGUAGUCCCAGCUGUAAACGAUGCAGGCUAGGUGUUUGGGCGGCCACGAGCCGCUCUAGUGCCGCAGGGAAGCUGUUAAGCCUGCCGCCUGGGGAGUACGGCCGCAAGGCUGAAACUUAAAGGAAUUGGGCGGGGGAGCACCGACAAGGGGUGAAGCUUGCGGUUU